Molecule: ribosomal RNA, 493 nt
Filed under: uncultured bacterium
Lineage: Bacteria
Description: partial 16S ribosomal RNA
Rfam family: Bacterial small subunit ribosomal RNA
Source: RNAcentral
AUUGAACGCUGGCGGCAUGCUUUACACAUGCAAGUCGAACGGUAACAGGUUAAGCUGACGAGUGGCGAACGGGUGAGUAAUGCAUCGGAACGUGCCCGGUCGUGGGGGAUAACGCAGCGAAAGCUGCGCUAAUACCGCAUACGAUCUGAGGAUGAAAGCGGGGGACCGUAAGGCCUCGUGCGAUCGGAGCGGCCGAUGUCAGAUUAGGUAGUUGGUGGGGUAAAGGCUCACCAAGCCGACGAUCUGUAGCUUGUCUGAGAGGACGACCAGCUACACUGGGACUGGGACACGGCCCAGACUCCUACGGGAGGCAGCAGUGGGGCAUUUUGGACAAUGGGGGCAAGCCUGAUCCAGCAAUUCCGCGUGCAGGAAGGAGGCCUUCGGGUUGUAAACUGCUUUUGUACGGAGCGAAAAGGCUCUCUCUAAUACAGGGGGCUCAGGACGGUACCGUAAGAAUAAGCACCAGCUAACUACGUGCCAGCCGCCGCAGUAA